This 881-nucleotide long non-coding RNA is filed under the name Homo sapiens (human). Its description in RNAcentral is "HSALNT0365778". The record is from RNAcentral. Lineage: Eukaryota; Metazoa; Chordata; Mammalia; Primates; Hominidae.
GUCCCCUUCGAUGGUGUUGGGGUUUUGUUGUUUCGCUCUUUGCAAUAAAUUUUGCUGUUGCUCACCUUUUAGGUCCACACUACCUUUAUGAGCUUUAACACUCACAGUGAAGGUCUGCAGGUUCACUCCUGUAAACCAGCGAGACCAGGAAGCCACCACAAGAAACAACUCUGGAGCCGCCACCUUUAAGAGCCAUAACACUCACUGUGAAGGUCUGUGGCUUCACUCCUGAAGUCAGCGACACCACGAACCCACAGGGAGGAGCAAACAACUCCAGACGCACCACUUUUAAGAGGUGUAACACUCCCUGCGAAGGUCUGUGGCUUCACUCCUGAGGUCGGCGAAACUACGAACCCGCUGGGAGGAAGGAACAACGCGGAUGCGCCACCUUUAAGAGCUGUAACACUCCCUGCGAAGGUCCGCGGCCUCACUCAUCAAGUCGUGCAUAGACCACGAACUCUCUAGAAAGAAAAAACUUCGGACACACCUGAACAUUUGAAGGAACAAACUCCGGACACACCAUGUUUAAGAACUAUAAUGCCGUGAAGGUCCGCGGCAGGACCGGGACCAGGAACUCUUCAGAGGGAACCAAUUCCGGAUACACAGCUUCGUGGAAUGGUUCUGCACUGUGUGUGUGUGUGUUUCCCGUCAACCCUGUGCACACUAUUAGAAGAACACAAGCGUUAAGGCUCCCUCUCAGUCCUGCCGAUGGAAGACAUUGUGAUUUUGACCUUGUUGGAUGCUGCACCUGAAGGUGGAGGAAGAGGAAGAGCCUUGGGGGCUACCAUUCUGGCUGGAGAAGCGGCACGAGGCUCCCUCUUGUGGAUGCAGCAAGACACACAGAGAAGAGACACAUAAGGAGAAGCAGGAGAGACCUCGUG